Molecule: ribosomal RNA, 439 nt
Filed under: uncultured bacterium
Lineage: Bacteria
Description: SSU rRNA
Rfam family: Bacterial small subunit ribosomal RNA
Source: RNAcentral
AGAUUGAACGCUGGCGGCAUGCCUUACACAUGCAAGUCGAGCGCCCAGCAAUGGGAGCGGCGGACGGGUGAGUAACACGUGGGAACAUGCCCUUUGGUACGGAACAACUCAGGGAAACUUGAGCUAAUACCGUAUGUGCCGGUAACGGGAAAGAUUUAUCGCCAAAGGAUUGGCCCGCGUCCGAUUAGCUAGUUGGUGAGGUAACGGCCCACCAAGGCUCCGAUCGGUAGCUGGUUUGAGAGAACGACCAGCCACACUGGGACUGAGACACGGCCCAGACUCCUACGGGAGGCAGCAGUGGGGAAUCUUGGACAAUGGGGGAAACCCUGAUCCAGCCAUGCCGCGUGAGUGAUGAAGGCCUUCGGGUUGUAAACUCUUUCGACGGGACGAUAUGACGGUACCCGUAGAGAGCUCCGGCUAACUUCGUGCCAGCAGCCGC